UACGGAGGGGGCUAGCGUUGUUCGGAAUUACUGGGCGUAAAGCGCACGUAGGCGGCGAUUUAAGUCAGAGGUGAAAGCCCGGGGCUCAACCCCGGAACUGCCUUUGAGACUGGAUUGCUAGAAUCAUGGAGAGGUGAGUGGAAUUCCGAGUGUAGAGGUGAAAUUCGUAGAUAUUCGGAAGAACACCAGUGGCGAAGGCGGCUCACUGGACAUGUAUUGACGCUGAGGUGCGAAAGCGUGGGGAGCAAACAGG
Molecule: ribosomal RNA, 253 nt
Filed under: uncultured bacterium
Lineage: Bacteria
Description: partial 16S ribosomal RNA
Rfam family: Bacterial small subunit ribosomal RNA
Source: RNAcentral